RNAcentral lists this long non-coding RNA (1026 nucleotides) under Triticum aestivum (bread wheat). RNAcentral's name for it is "long non-coding RNA (TAES_LNC013047)". The record is from RNAcentral. Lineage: Eukaryota; Viridiplantae; Streptophyta; Magnoliopsida; Poales; Poaceae.
AUGAAGAGAUGGUUUGAACAGUGGGCAAAAAGGGAUCUUCAGACAUCAAACAAGGUUUCUAAAUCGACCAAAACAAAAAUUCACAGACUAAGAUAACAUCAUCCAUUAGCUGUCAAAAACAUCUCAUCACUUCUCCUUUUUCUCCGCGGGGACAACCUUCUUCAUCCGGGCUCCCAGCUGGUGCUGGUUCAUCAACUCGACACGGAACUUCUUGCCGCCGUGAGUGAUGGGCAUCUAAUCGCCCUGGCCCCCUGGAUGGCUAUAGCAAGCUCCUCUGUUAGAAUUGAAUCACCAGGCUUGGAGCAAGAGAGGUGUAAACACGGAGAAAAACAAUACAAAGCUCACUAAUAAUAGGUUGAUGGUAUUUCUUAUACACAAACUCAAACUAAUGACUGCUAGAAUUCCACCAUUCUACCGAUGUUACAAGCACCUGAAGACAUUAUUAUUCCAAAUAACACCACCGUAACUGAAGCAACCAACAAACUAAACUCUAGAACAUCAAAGGACAACCAGAUUAAUCCUUCUCUGAAGCUCGCAUGAUAGAAAUGCCAACUUCUAACCUAGUUCAAAGAUACUGUAUAUAAUAGAUUGGCAUCGUUAUGUCUAAUAUGCAAUAAAUUAUGCAACAAAUAGAAUCCAAUAAAUCCAGUAAAUCUAAUUUUCAUGCUUAUAUGUAUAUUAGUUUUUUAGAUUUAAGAGGAGAAAUAUUUCAUGAACAUUUAAAGUCAUCAUGCUUUGAAUUAGACGACACAAGCAUUAGAACUGCAUUUGCUCGAUCCUUGAGUGAGACCUUUCUACUCCCAAGAAAAGAAAAAGAGAAGAAAAGUGUAAUCUGGAUGUGGCAUCAAUAGCAUAGCUAGAAAGUAUAUAUAGAUGCAGUUGUUCGAGACUGACUAACCAUUUUGCAUUGAAGUUUGCAAAUAAAUCAUUUUCAUAUUUGAACAAGGGGACUUGUAAACCUCAGGAACAGACGUUUCUUUAAGAUUUAACAAAUAGCAGCAGAAACUCUGCAUGAAAGAAACAAUU